GAUGAACGCUGGCGGCGUGCCUAAUACAUGCAAGUCGAGCGAACAGACGAGGAGCUUGCUCCUCUGACGUUAGCGGCGGACGGGUGAGUAACACGUGGAUAACCUACCUAUAAGACUGGGAUAACUUCGGGAAACCGGAGCUAAUACCGGAUAAUAUAUUGAACCGCAUGGUUCAAUAGUGAAAGACGGUUUUGCUGUCACUUAUAGAUGGAUCCGCGCCGCAUUAGCUAGUUGGUAAGGUGACGGCUUACCAAGGCAACGAUGCGUAGCCGACCUGAGAGGGUGAUCGGCCACACUGGAACUGAGACACGGUCCAGACUCCUACGGGAGGCAGCAGUAGGGAAUCUUCCGCAAUGGGCGAAAGCUUGACGGAGCAACGCCGCGUGAGUGAUGAAGGUCUUCGGAUCGUAAAACUCUGUUAUUAGGGAAGAACAAAUGUGUAAGUAACUAUGCACGUCUUGACGGUACCUAAUCAGAAAACCACGGCUAACUACGU
RNAcentral lists this ribosomal RNA (496 nucleotides) under uncultured bacterium. Its description in RNAcentral is "partial 16S ribosomal RNA". It matches the Rfam family "Bacterial small subunit ribosomal RNA", at positions 28 to 506 of the family's 1533-position model. The record is from RNAcentral.